Molecule: long non-coding RNA, 321 nt
Filed under: Cavia porcellus (domestic guinea pig)
Lineage: Eukaryota; Metazoa; Chordata; Mammalia; Rodentia; Caviidae
Description: lncRNA (ENSCPOG00000037343.1)
Source: RNAcentral
GUAGUUAUUUAAAGAUAAAUCAUGUACAAAUUGCUCAAGACAUCUUUCUCCAGCCUCCAGUGAUGUGGCCUGGCUGGUCACUACCUCAUUCCCAUCAGCAGGCAAUGGUCGGGAGAGAAAGGAACCUCCGUGUCUAUAAGGAAUUUCUCCAAUCUUCCUCCUCCUGAGGGCAUUGCCAACAUUUCUUCCACUCAGCCUGAAAGUGACACAACACGCAGAUGCCCCAGGAAACCUGAGUCUACAUUUUUUUCCACAGAAAUCAAAGAUGGCUGGAAGUGAUAAAUCAGGUGUGGAGAUCUGCAUUAUCUUUCUGUGCUCCCC